UUUGAAGAGGACUAUCAGCCUUCACACUUAAACAGACAUCUCUUUCUGCUCUCUUUUCUAUCCCUGGGUGUUUUACUAUAGCACAUGACUGAUUAGCCUCCCCCGGACAAUAGAUAAGACUAGAUGAAUAGCUGAUAAGACUUCAGGCUUUGAAGUGUGUGCGUGUGUUUAAUUGAAAUUCUCUGUUGCUCUCUCUUAUAGGGUAUGGGAGGUGAGUCCGGUUCUAUAUCCCUCCACGGGUGAAGAUUCCCUCUCAGUUUGUGCGAUUCACCCUGACUUUGACUCUCGACUUGCAGUAUCCCUCCUCUCCUCCCUCCAUUUCCAUCCACAACCCUCUGGGUCUUUCUGAUGACAAGCUGUGCAGUGUGCAGAAAUGUCUGCAGAAAGAGGCGGUGUCCUGCCUGGGUUCUGCUGUGUUGUACCAGCUCAUUGAGGCCAGUUCUCUUUCUCUCGCUUUAUUUUCACCUCUCUCGCUCCGUUUCCCUCAUUUUCUCUUUCUCUCACUCCCUCUGUUCUUAGUUGGAGACCGCAGUAAUUUAAGUACUGUAUUUGUGAUAUUAAAAUUAGAACUGUGGCUCGAGGAUGCCCUUUGACCUGAUUUUAUUUUAUUUAGAAAUGUAUAAAUAGAGAUGAAUAUCAAGUACUUGACUCAGUCCCUCUUUUCAGUCUCUCUCAGAAAGCCAAAGAGAUUCUGACAGAGAGCAAUAUUCCCCAUGGGAACUGCGUCAUCUGCCUUUACGGGU
Long non-coding RNA from Oncorhynchus keta (chum salmon), 743 nucleotides. RefSeq lists it as uncharacterized. The record is from RefSeq and is a predicted model, not a curated record. The transcript has 3 exons. NCBI's taxonomy places the organism in Eukaryota, Metazoa, Chordata, Actinopteri, Salmoniformes, Salmonidae.